GACGAACGCUGGCGGCGUGCUUAACACAUGCAAGUCGAACGGAAAGGCCCUGCUUUUGUGGGGUGCUCGAGUGGCGAACGGGUGAGUAACACGUGAGUAACCUGCCCUUGACUUUGGGAUAGCUUCAGGAAACUGGGGCUAAUACCGGAUAGGAGCUCCUGCUGCAUGGUGGGGGUUGGAAAGUUUCGGCGGUUGGGGAUGGACUCGCGGCUUAUCAGCUUGUUGGUGGGGUAGUGGCUUACCAAGGCUUUGACGGGUAGCCGGCCUGAGGGGGUGACCGGCCACAUUGGGACUGAGAUACGGCCCAGACUCCUACGGGAGGCAGCAGUGGGGAAUAUUGCACAAUGGGCGGAAGCCUGAUGCAGCAACGCCGCGUGCGGGAUGACGGCCUUCGGGUUGUAAACCGCUUUCGCCUGUGACGAAGCGUGAGUGACGGUAAUGGGUAAAGAAGCACCGGCUAACUACGUG
This 468-nucleotide ribosomal RNA is filed under the name uncultured bacterium. RNAcentral describes it as "partial 16S ribosomal RNA". It matches the Rfam family "Bacterial small subunit ribosomal RNA", at positions 28 to 507 of the family's 1533-position model. The record is from RNAcentral.